Molecule: ribosomal RNA, 253 nt
Filed under: uncultured bacterium
Lineage: Bacteria
Description: partial 16S ribosomal RNA
Rfam family: Bacterial small subunit ribosomal RNA
Source: RNAcentral
CACGUAGGGGACGAGCGUUGUCCGGAUUCAUUGGGCGUAAAGCGCGCGUAGGCGGCUCGGAAAGUCGGUCGUGAAAUGCCGGGGCUCAACCCCGGGACUGCGUCCGAUACUCCCGAGCUGGAGGCAGGUAGGGGAGAUCGGAAUUCCUGGUGUAGCGGUGAAAUGCGCAGAUAUCAGGAGGAACACCAGCGGCGAAGGCGGCGCUCUGGGCCGGAACUGACGCUGAGGAGCGAAAGCGUGGGUAGCAAACAGG